GAUUAGUAAAAAUCGAACCAAAACCUAAGAAAAUUCAUAAGAAAACUCUCAAGGCAAGUGGGCACCAUGUGGGAUUUUCUCUCAAUAGGUUGAGAGCAUCUCUCUCGAACUCACUUUUACUAAGAGCUCUUUCUAGAUUCUAUGGGUGGUGGUGUAUGACCAUUCUUAGUUGGUGAAGCGAUUUGUCUGGUUAAUUUCAUUAACGAACGAGACCUCAGUCUGCUAACUAGCUAUGCCGAGGUACCCCUUCGUGGUCAGCUUCUUAGAGGGACUACGGUCUUUUAGGCUGUGGAAGUUUAAGGCAAUAACAGGUCUGCGAUGUCCUUAGAUGUUCUGGGCCACAAGUACGCUGCAUUAAUGUAUUCAACGAGUUUAUAGCCUUGGCCGACAGGUCCGGGUAAUCUUUGAAAUUUCAUCGUGAUGGGGAUAGAUCAUUGUAAUUGUUGGUCUUCAACGAGGAAUUCCUAGUAAGCGUAAGUCAUCAGCUCAUGUUGACUACGUCCCUACCCUUUGUUGCCCGUCGCUCCUACUGAUUGAAUUUUCCAGUGAAGUGUUCAUAUCGCAUCGAUGUGGGCAGUUUGUUGCCCUCGACGUCGUGAGAAGUCUACUGAAUCUUAUCAUUUAGAGAAAGAAGAAGUUGUAACAAGGUUUUCGUAGGUGAAUCUAUGGAAG
RNAcentral lists this ribosomal RNA (672 nucleotides) under Olea europaea subsp. europaea. RNAcentral's name for it is "Microsporidia small subunit ribosomal RNA". It matches the Rfam family "Eukaryotic small subunit ribosomal RNA", at positions 1246 to 1823 of the family's 1831-position model. Lineage: Eukaryota; Viridiplantae; Streptophyta; Magnoliopsida; Lamiales; Oleaceae. The record is from Rfam by way of RNAcentral.